GACGGGGGAUGCUAGAGAUAUCCGGAAUCACUGGGCGUAAAGCGUCUGUAGGUGGUGAUGCAAGUCACUGGUGCAAAACUCUGGCUCAACCGGAGGAAAGCCAGUGAAACUGCAUGACUAGAGUGUGGGAGAGGUAGAAGGAAUUCCCUGAGUAGCGGUGAAAUGCGUAGAUACAGGGAAGAACACCGGAGGCGAAAGCGUUCUACUGGAACACAACUGACACUGAGAGACGAAAGCUAGGGGAGCGAAUGGG
RNAcentral lists this ribosomal RNA (253 nucleotides) under uncultured bacterium. RNAcentral describes it as "partial 16S ribosomal RNA". It matches the Rfam family "Bacterial small subunit ribosomal RNA", at positions 524 to 776 of the family's 1533-position model. The record is from RNAcentral.